This 253-nucleotide ribosomal RNA is filed under the name uncultured bacterium. RNAcentral describes it as "partial 16S ribosomal RNA". It matches the Rfam family "Bacterial small subunit ribosomal RNA", at positions 524 to 776 of the family's 1533-position model. The record is from RNAcentral.
UACGAAGGGGGCUAGCGUUGUUCGGAUUUACUGGGCGUAAAGCGCGUGUAGGCGGGCCGUUAAGUUGGGGGUGAAAGCCCGAGGCUCAACCUCGGAACUGCCUUCAAAACUGGCGGCCUGGAGCAGAUGAGAGGCGAGUGGAAUUCCGAGUGUAGAGGUGAAAUGCGUAGAUAUCUGGAGGAACACCGGUGGCGAAGGCGGCAUCCUGGACCAAUACUGACACUGAGGAGCGAAAGCCAGGGGAGCAAACGGG